GGAUGUGAGGGAAAUCUGGAUGUGACAUCUGUCACCCUAUUGAUCACCAGGGUUGAUUCUGCUGAUGACUGGCUAGGCAGGGGUCCCCUUCCUCCCUACUGCUCCAUGUGCAUCCCUCCUGAAGCUGUGUGCUCAGUGGAAGAGGACGACCUUCCCCGAAUAGAAGAGCACCAGUCUUUGGUCAAGGGUAUACGAGUAGCUGCGCUCCCCUGCUAGAAUGCCCAAACAAGCUCUCAAAAUACAAUAGAAAAGCCAGGUGUGGUAGUGCACAUGCCUUUAAUCCCAGCACUAGGGAGGCAGAGGUAG
Molecule: small nuclear RNA, 306 nt
Filed under: Jaculus jaculus (lesser Egyptian jerboa)
Lineage: Eukaryota; Metazoa; Chordata; Mammalia; Rodentia; Dipodidae
Description: 7SK RNA (ENSJJAG00000001352.1)
Rfam family: 7SK RNA
About the family: 7SK was discovered as an abundant small nuclear RNA in the mid-70s but a possible function has only recently been suggested. Two independent studies have found that 7SK RNA binds the CDK9/cyclin T complex (known as elongation factor P-TEFb).
Source: Rfam by way of RNAcentral